AUUGAACGCUGGCGGCAUGCUUUACACAUGCAAGUCGAACGGUAACAGCACUUCGGUGGCUGACGAGUGGCGAACGGGUGAGUAAUACAUCGGAACGUGCCUAGUAGUGGGGGAUAACUACUCGAAAGAGUAGCUAAUACCGCAUGAGAUCUAAGGAUGAAAGCAGGGGACCUUCGGGCCUUGCGCUACUAGAGCGGCUGAUGGCAGAUUAGGUAGUUGGUGGGAUAAAAGCUUACCAAGCCGACGAUCUGUAGCUGGUCUGAGAGGACGACCAGCCACACUGGGACUGAGACACGGCCCAGACUCCUACGGGAGGCAGCAGUGGGGAAUUUUGGACAAUGGGCGCAAGCCUGAUCCAGCUAUGCCGCGUGCAGGAUGAAGGCCUUCGGGUUGUAAACUGCUUUUGUACGGAACGAAAAGCCCUCUUCUAAUACAGGAGGGUCAUGACGGUACCGUAAGAAUAAGCACCGGCUAACUACGUG
This 482-nucleotide ribosomal RNA is filed under the name uncultured bacterium. Its description in RNAcentral is "partial 16S ribosomal RNA". It matches the Rfam family "Bacterial small subunit ribosomal RNA", at positions 30 to 507 of the family's 1533-position model. The record is from RNAcentral.